RNAcentral lists this ribosomal RNA (253 nucleotides) under uncultured bacterium. Its description in RNAcentral is "partial 16S ribosomal RNA". It matches the Rfam family "Bacterial small subunit ribosomal RNA", at positions 524 to 776 of the family's 1533-position model. The record is from RNAcentral.
UACGUAGGGUGCAAGCGUUAAUCGGAAUUACUGGGCGUAAAGCGUGCGCAGGCGGUUAUGCAAGACAGAUGUGAAAUCCCCGGGCUCAACCUGGGAACUGCAUUUGUGACUGCAUGGCUAGAGUGCGGCAGAGGGGGAUGGAAUUCCGCGUGUAGCAGUGAAAUGCGUAGAUAUGGGGAGGAACACCGAUGGCGAAGGCAAUCCCCUGGGCCUGCACUGACGCUCAUGCACGAAAGCGUGGGGAGCAAACAGG